GACAGAGGUGCCGAGCGUUAGGCGGAAUCACUGGGCUUAAAGCGUGUGUAGGCGGGCGAUCAAGUACCUUGUGAGAUCCCACGGCUCAACCGUGGAACCGCUGGGUAUACUGGUUGUCUUGAGCCGGCUAGGGGCGAGCGGAACAGACGGUGGAGCGGUGAAAUGCGUAGAUAUCGUCUGGAACGCCGAAGGUGAAAACAGCUCGCUGGGGCCGCGCUGACGCUGAGACACGAAAGCCAGGGGAGCGAACGGG
RNAcentral lists this ribosomal RNA (253 nucleotides) under uncultured bacterium. RNAcentral's name for it is "partial 16S ribosomal RNA". It matches the Rfam family "Bacterial small subunit ribosomal RNA", at positions 524 to 776 of the family's 1533-position model. The record is from RNAcentral.